AGGGGCGUAGCUCAGUUGGUAGAGCGCCGAUCUCCAAAAUCGGAUGCCGGGGGUUCGAGUCCCUCCGCCCCUG
Molecule: transfer RNA, 73 nt
Filed under: Chloroflexota bacterium
Lineage: Bacteria; Bacillati; Chloroflexota
Description: Chloroflexi bacterium (rhizosphere metagenome) tRNA-Trp
Rfam family: tRNA
About the family: Transfer RNA (tRNA) molecules are approximately 80 nucleotides in length. Their secondary structure includes four short double-helical elements and three loops (D, anti-codon, and T loops).
Source: RNAcentral